RNAcentral lists this transfer RNA (74 nucleotides) under Wolbachia pipientis. It matches the Rfam family "tRNA". Rfam says of the family: Transfer RNA (tRNA) molecules are approximately 80 nucleotides in length. The record is from Rfam by way of RNAcentral. Lineage: Bacteria; Pseudomonadati; Pseudomonadota; Alphaproteobacteria; Rickettsiales; Anaplasmataceae.
GCGCUUAUAGCUCAGCUGGAUAGAGCAUUGCCCUCCGGAGGCAAAUGUCGUGGGUUCGAGUCCCCCUAAGCGCA